UACGAAGGGGGCUAGCGUUGCUCGGAUUUACUGGGCGUAAAGGGCGCGUAGGCGGAUGACCAAGUUGGGGGUGAAAUCCCGGGGCUUAACCUCGGAAUUGCCUCCGAUACUGGCAGUCUCGAGUGCGGGAGAGGUGAGUGGAAUUCCCAGUGUAGAGGUGAAAUUCGUAGAUAUUCGGAAGAACACCAGUGGCGAAGGCGGCUCACUGGCCCGGUACUGACGCUGAGGUGCGAAAGCGUGGGGAGCAAACAGG
Molecule: ribosomal RNA, 253 nt
Filed under: uncultured bacterium
Lineage: Bacteria
Description: partial 16S ribosomal RNA
Rfam family: Bacterial small subunit ribosomal RNA
Source: RNAcentral